RNAcentral lists this non-coding RNA (89 nucleotides) under Pseudomonas sp. SJZ131. The record is from RNAcentral. Lineage: Bacteria; Pseudomonadati; Pseudomonadota; Gammaproteobacteria; Pseudomonadales; Pseudomonadaceae.
UGUAGGAGUGAGCCUGCUCGCGAUGGCCUUGGGUCAGCAACCAAUGUAUUGACUGACAGAUUUCUAUCGCGAGCAGGCUCACUCCUACA